This 253-nucleotide ribosomal RNA is filed under the name uncultured bacterium. RNAcentral describes it as "partial 16S ribosomal RNA". It matches the Rfam family "Bacterial small subunit ribosomal RNA", at positions 524 to 776 of the family's 1533-position model. The record is from RNAcentral.
UACGGAGGGAGCUAGCGUUGUUCGGAAAUACUGGGCGUAAAGCGCACGUAGGCGGCGCAGCAAGUCAGGGGUGAAAUCCCGGGGCUCAACCCCGGAACUGCCCUUGAAACUGCAGUGCUAGAAUUCUGGAGAGGCGAGUGGAAUUCCGAGUGUAGAGGUGAAAUUCGUAGAUAUUCGGAAGAACACCAGUGGCGAAGGCGACUCGCUGGACAGACAUUGACGCUGAGGUGCGAAAGCAUGGGGAGCAAACAGG